GCAUGUGUAUAUGUGCCUUUUGAAUAAAAAAAUAAAGAAGCCUCUUAACCGAGAAGAGUCAGCAAGCAAAAAGGUAACGUGACAGAGCCUGUUAUACAGUACAACACGUAACUACAUCGGAUUGGCUUUUCAAAGGUGGCGACAACUUUGAGAUUUCGAGGAUUUAAAACAGACCAAGAGAUGGAGUUUUUCCUUACUUGACAGGAAUUGUCCUCUGUCCUUCUUCAUUCACAGUCUAGUGGUUUAAACUGCUUCUGUCCAGCCUAUCCGGUGGUGGUGUUGGCCAGACAGCGGGCCGUGCCAUGCUACAGGCGUGAGAGCUUGUCCCCCGGCAGACUCAGGCGAGGUGGUCCCAGUGGGUGUCUGGCUGCAGGAGGUUAUGAAGCUAAAGCAGCGUGUGGUGGUUCUGUGUGCUGUGCUUUUUCUCCUCGGCCUGGCCAAAGUCUUCAUGCUGGAUGGAGGGGAGGGCUCGGCCACUAGCCGUCGCGACCUCCGUGCCUUCCGCAAUAUGGAGGCCAGCCUGUCUCUUGCCAAAGGAGAUCGCCUCACAAACACCCUGCAGUCGCCCUGGGAAGUGGCCGCCCAGUGGGUCGGGCCACGGGAGGUGUACCCAGACGAAACACCCGAGCUAGCCGCCGUGCUGAACGCCCUUGCCACUGCUCAUGUGGAAAGAGCAGAUGUGGGAUAUAAAGGCACCCAGCUGAAAGCCCUGCUGGUGCUCGACGGAGGACAGAAAGUGGUGUUCAAACCCAAGAGGUACAACAGAGAUGAUGUGGUCGAGGGAGAGCCAUAUGCAGGCUACGAUCGACAUAAUGCAGAAAUUGCUGCUUUUCACUUGGACAGGAUCCUGGGUUUUAGGAGAGCGCCUCUGGUGGUGGGGAGGUUUAUGAAUCUAAUUACAGAGAUAAAGCCAGCAGCCACAGACCAACUGCUAAGCACUUUUCUGAUGCACGGAAAUAACUCAUGCUUCUAUGGGAAGUGUUAUUACUGUCGUGAGACUGAGCCUGCCUGUGCAGAGGCAGAUGUGAUGGAGGGAUCGGUUACCCUGUGGCUUCCUGAUGUCUGGCCACUACAGAAACACAGGCACCCCUGGGGACGGACAUACCGAGAGGGCAAACUUGCCAGGUGGGAGUAUGAUGAGAGCUACUGUGAGGCUGUCCAGAAAAUGCCUCCAUAUGAUGCCGGUCCACGGCUUCUGGACGUCAUCGACACCGCCAUCUUUGAUUACCUCAUCGGCAAUGCUGAUCGCCAUCACUACGAGAGUUUCCAGGACGAUGGCGGAGCCAGCAUGCUUAUCCUUCUGGACAAUGCUAAAAGUUUUGGCAACCCUGCUCUGGAUGAGAGGAGUAUUCUCGCACCUCUUUAUCAGUGCUGCAUGGUCCGUGUCUCCACCUGGAACAGGCUAAACCUGCUGAAAGGGGGUGUUUUGAGUUCAGCAAUGCGACAGGCCACAGCCCACGACCCCACUUUUCCAGUGCUCACGGAGCCACAUCUCGCCGCACUUGACCGACGUCUCAGCGGAGUGCUCGCCACCGUGCGGCAGUGCAUGGAGACACAGGGCGCAGACAACACACUGAUCGAGGACCGCAUGAACCUGCCUCAUCCUUAAAGACAUUGGAGAUCAGAGGAGAAAUACAAAGUGAAAAUGUGUUUGUGGAGCUAAACAUUGACUCUUGAUGCACAGGCUGCUUUCACGUUCUCUUCAUGCUGCUGAGCUGGCGACCUGAUGGUCACCAGAAGCUUUAGGGGAUGACCUGGAGGAGAUUGUGGAGCUGUUUGUUUUUCACUGGAUUAGUUCAGUUCAGACCACAGAGGCAAAAAUGUGCUUUUCAUCCUGACCUUAGUAUGCUUUCUACACUUCUCUUUUUCCUUCUCUUUGGAUAGAGUGGUGAAGCCUUGACCAACAUUUUCCUAUUUUUGUUUACUUUUUGCCAUCCAGGGCCAUUUUUUGUUGGAACGGAGAUAAGUGUUUCAGUAGGUCUGUUUUUGUUACUAAAACAGAACAGGAAUUUGAUAUUUGGCCUAACAAUAAGACUGAGGAAGAUGGAAAGAUGUUCCACUGGUCCGUCACCCUGGCACAUCAAAAGAGGGAACGCAAGACUGUCAACAGACAGUCUUCCACCCAGACUGUAAACAAUACUGAGUAAUAAUAUUAUUGAUCUAAAGAUAAAUUGAGAGUUAUGAUAGAUUUCAUGUGUUCUGUAUGCAGUAAGAAUACAGUAAUGUACAGAGAAGGAAGGUUAUUGCUACUGAUGUUCAGAGAAGAUAGUGAAGACGACACAGCAUUGUAUGGCUGCUGUGAGGGAAAUUUUGAACAUUAAAAAUUUAUAUUUCAAACUUGCAGAAGUUUUUUGUAAUUUUUUUCACUCUCCUUAUGUGUAUGAGCACUUUGCUCACAGUUAGUUCAAUUAUUGGUCAUCAACCAACACGUUUUUUUUAUCUAAAGAAAAUGACAGUACACAAACUACAGGGACAGACUGCCUCCAGCAACCUGUGGUUUAGUAUCUUGUUCAGAGGCACAAUGGACACCCCAGAUCGGUUUUAUCUGGACGCACGCGCAUUGCCAGGGUUACGCGCUGGCCCGAAGUUAACUUCCGGUCUGUGUUUGUUUAUCGGUAACAAAGUAUGGCGCCGACUACAAACGCAGUUAAAAUUAAGGUGAUGAGUAGACUGAAGUUGGGCUCAGGUUGUUGGAACAGGCCUCUGGAACAAAUACCUUAUCGAAAAUAAAAAUGUUUCGGUUUCCUAAAAACGAAGGGAGACGGCGAGCAUGGAUCACCGCUGUGCGAAGAGAGGCUUGGCAGCCAGGCAAGAAUUCAAGGAUCUGUAGCACUCACUUCGUUACAGGUGCGCCAUCAGUGGACCCAUGCCAUCCAGAUUAUGUUCCAUCAAUUUUCACUCAUAAAAACACCAUUGAUGGUUCACAGAAGUUGGAGCGAUACCAGAGGAGACCAUCUGUGGUUGAGUCUAUGGAUUCACCUUCCUUAGAGGUCACCCAUGCUGACCCUGAAGAAGGAUGCACUGCUGUGGGUACAGAUCUGUCAAUGGCAGACAUUGACCAGCUACAAAAUGAAAAUGUUGAAUUAAAAAGAAAAAUUGCUUCACUGGAGAAGAAACUGGAAUCUCAAGAAAAACGACUACAAGAUCAUAUGUUUGGCAGUCCGUCCGAUUUUAUUUUAAAUGAUGACAAGCACACUCAUUUUUACACUGGUCUACCAUCUGCUUCUGUGUUCUUCACCCUCCUCACUUACCUGACAACAACAUUCAGAAUUCUGCGGAACACCCGGCCAGUCAGUAUGGUCAACCGGAGAAUUGAUAACAGUCUUUGCACAAUAGAUAAAAUAUUAAUUGUUUGUGCAGCACUUUCAAAUCUGGGGAAACCACUUGUACCAAAAUAAAGCAGGACUUAACCACAACUUAAAGGGAUAGUUCACCUAAUAACCCUCAUGCCGUUCCAAACCUGCAAGACUUUUGUUCAUCUUUGGAACACAAAUUAAGCUAUUUUUAAUUACUUAGGCUGUCAAUGGAGGGACAGAAAGCUCUCGGAUUUCAUCAAAAAUGUGUUCUGAAGAUGAUCAAAGGUCUUACAGGUUUGGAACGAAAUGAGGGAGAGAAAUUAAUUACUUUUUUAUUAUUAAAUAUAUUAAAAUACCAAACACAUGCAUUGAUAUUUGUAGUGUUGCACUUGUAUCACAAUGUUUCACAUGGAUUGUAAUUAUAAAAUGAAAUGAUAUAUUCAGUAAUGAACACCAACAACUAUUGAGUAACUGAUUUAUUGACUGAUGA
RNA transcript from Xyrauchen texanus (razorback sucker), 3786 nucleotides. It is a transcript of the gene named glycosaminoglycan xylosylkinase-like, with no coding region annotated. Lineage: Eukaryota; Metazoa; Chordata; Actinopteri; Cypriniformes; Catostomidae. The transcript is spliced from 9 exons. The record is from RefSeq and is a predicted model, not a curated record.